AUUGAACUCAAACGUGAGGGGCAGAAAAAUAUACUCCACCUUUUGAUGGAUGGAGCUGAAGAGUCACACUGCAAAACAGGUGGAUACAGGGAGGAAUGGAGAACUGGGGUCAUGAAUGCAGUUAAUUUACCACCCUGAUAGUCUCCCAUUAUUACUCUUAAAAAGUUUUUACUGGCUCUUCCUUCAAACUGUUCUAUAUUGGAAUCAUACUGUCAAGAUAAAAAACUCCCAUGGGGAUUUGCAUAGAGAGAAACUGUAAGUCAGCUGAUGAGUGAACGGUAGCUGUCAUCACCCACAUUUUACAGACAGGAAAUUGGAGGUGCAGAUAGAUUCAAUAACUGUUGAUUAGACAGCAAAUAAGUAGUUGAACCUGAAUUCGAACUCAAGUUUCCUGCUUCUGCCACUGCUCCACAUUUGCUUCCUCUGACGAUAGCUGUGAGGAUCAAGCGUGAGAAUGUCCACAAAAGCGUUUUGAACACUGUAAAGUGGGAAGGAGAGGUUGCAUUCUGGAAGCACCAGCCCCUGGGACUGCCUGGUGAUCAAGCAAAUAGGACUUCCUGCAGCAACACAUGGAAACUUAACAAUGUCCAUUAAGAGCAUGUGAAGAGAAAAACUGCAUAAGAAGAGGGCUGAAUAUCUAGAGAGAGGAGACUGUAGGAAGCAAUCUACUCACAGCAUGAAUUCAAAGAUGGAUGUAUUUGAAGUACAACAUUACUCUGGUUCUAAAUGAAAAGGGGCGGGAAUGACAAGAACAAACAAGAUGUCACCAUUGAAUAUUGUGAUGUGACUGUAGCAGUCUUAUAUCUGAAACUCAAGAAGAAAACAACUGCAUUCCAAAACAGC
This is a long non-coding RNA of Trichechus manatus latirostris (Florida manatee), 843 nucleotides long. RefSeq lists it as uncharacterized. Lineage: Eukaryota; Metazoa; Chordata; Mammalia; Sirenia; Trichechidae. The record is from RefSeq and is a predicted model, not a curated record. The transcript is spliced from 4 exons.